GGUUGGGUAGCCUAGCAGUUAAGGCAGCCCAUGUGUGUUGGGUCCAGAUCCAUUGGAUAUGGUCACUGGUUUGAAUCCAGCCCUGACCA
This 89-nucleotide transfer RNA is filed under the name Endocronartium harknessii PhW48OC. RNAcentral describes it as "tRNA-Thr (TGT) (tRNA-Thr-TGT-7-1)". It matches the Rfam family "tRNA". From Rfam's summary of the family: Transfer RNA (tRNA) molecules are approximately 80 nucleotides in length. Lineage: Eukaryota; Fungi; Basidiomycota; Pucciniomycetes; Pucciniales; Coleosporiaceae. The record is from RNAcentral.